ACUUCUGUACCAGCUGGCUGAGACCACAGGGCCACGGUGUUGGGACGGAUGGCUUGGGUGCCAUCUUGUGUAAGCACGGCUCCUCUAGCUCACUGCAGAAACAGAGAGAUGGCAUGUUAACAGCAGCUGGAGGCUCUCACUGAGAUUCAGAGGAAACUAUGACAGGAAGCUGCAAAGAGCCAGCAGAGCAGUCAAACUGAAUUUGAAUCUGCUUCUCCACUUGGUAGCGAUGGGACGCUGGGUCUUACUCUCUGAAUCUCGAAGAACUGUGGAGUGGAUGUACCUGCCUCAUAAGAUUGUUCAGGGAACUAAAUGGGAAAAAGGACAUGAAGGGGAGAGCAUGCUAUCUGACUCAAAUAAACCAUUAUCAUCAUUGUG
Molecule: long non-coding RNA, 378 nt
Organism: Mus musculus (house mouse)
Lineage: Eukaryota; Metazoa; Chordata; Mammalia; Rodentia; Muridae
Product: predicted gene 10847
Exons: 2
Source: RefSeq, marked validated